GUCUACGGCAAUGCCACCCUGAACAAGCCCGAUCCCGUCUGAUCUCGGAAGCUAAGCAGGGUCCUAGGAAGACCAGGUGUGGUAGGCA
RNAcentral lists this ribosomal RNA (88 nucleotides) under Pteropus alecto (black flying fox). Lineage: Eukaryota; Metazoa; Chordata; Mammalia; Chiroptera; Pteropodidae. The record is from RNAcentral.